Molecule: long non-coding RNA, 3702 nt
Organism: Bos taurus (domestic cattle)
Lineage: Eukaryota; Metazoa; Chordata; Mammalia; Artiodactyla; Bovidae
Source: Ensembl
CUGAAAGUUUCCAGAACAAAGGCCUUCUCUGCUCCUCCUGAUUUUGUCAGUGGCAAACAAAACAUUGGGCAGUGGACUGUCACACAGAAAUGAAGGUGGGCAUGGGACUUCUGCGAACUGGAAAGAACCCUGACAACUGCAGAGGUCAAGGCUCAGCCCCCUCCUUCUAUCCUUCGACAGCCAAGACCGCAGAGGCAGGUGGGGAGCAGGGGAGGCAGAACUGGGCAUCAGGGUGAGGAGUCCACCUGCAUCAGUGUUCCCUUUUAAGGAAAGGCAGUCCCUGGCAGCUCCACACUCCAAACUCGCCAGUGAUAACCCCCAGGCAGCUUAUUAGACCCUUUCCUACUCCAAAAGGAGCUCCUGUUAACUUUUGAAGAAGCAGGGAUGUCACCACUCCCUGGAAGGCGGUGAAAAGUGCAGGGGUUUGCUGAUGUCUGCGCAUUUCAGCAAGAAACAAAGAAUAAAACAGAAGUGUCUGCUUCUGAGAGAGACUCUGGGAGACCCUCGGAGAUGUGCAGCGUUACAGUGGCCCUGUGCAACAUGCAAAGGUGGACCCCAGCCCCGCCCCGGUCCCUGGGGUAUUGUAUUAAAGGGCAGUCAGCAGGGACACUGGUCCCCUCAUGUGAGGGCCGCAGACAGGCUCCUUUGGGCAGCCUGGUAGACAGUAGACAUGAGACUGGAGUGGGGAGUUGGGAGGGAGGAACACGGCAGCAGGAAGACUCAGCCGUGGAGGUCAUGGAGGGUGAUGAGGCAAGGACUCUGGAUCCCCAUGGAAGAUGCUGGGCCUGGAAACAGGUUCCAUGUGAGUGUGAAGAGCUCCAUAUGUACAAUGAAAAUCCAGUCUUUACUUUUCUACGUGAAAUCAAAUUUAGCUAAAGGUUCAUUGGCUUGGCUAACAGGAUGGCCCAGUCAGUCGCUUUUAGGAGACUGUCUCCAGGUGAAAGCAUUGUCCCUCCAGGUACCAAAAUGUCCCACAUGGAAUCUGUGAGUAAAGGAGGCAGAUGGUUUUGGGUAAGUUGGUAGGUAUAAUUUUAACCAUCACCACUACCACCCCUUGGGUCCCUAGCCAAGUGUAUUCUGGGAGUAUCCCUAAGGGAGAACCAGCAACGCUGGGGAGAGCAUAUGCUGCAUCCCUGCACGGUGCUUCUCCAGCUGGCGUAGGAUUGGCUGCCAACAGACCAUCCCUCCCUUCUCCUGAGCUGCCUGCUUCUGGUGUUGGGAUACCUAAUAAGGUCAGGGAGUCUCAUGCGUGUAAGCCCACGGCCUGGGUUUUCUCUGUAAAGUGGGCUCCGUGGUCAGAAGACAUGUCGUGGGGGAGAACAUAAGCUGUCCAGCAAGUCCGUAGAGAGAGUGGUGGCGACAGCAUGACGACAGCAGGGGAGCCACAUCCAAAUCCGGAGCAAGUACUUGUUACAAAGGCAACGGUCACCCUUUCCCUGAUGCAGAAGUUCCAGGGCCAUCAGCCCGCCACCUGGCAGUGGGCUCCAUGCCCAGAGUCCCUCACUGCACUAAACAUCCCUGCCAGUCACCCUGUCCAUCAGGUUACAAUCCUAGGAGUUCUCAUUUCAUUUAGUCCUUACCACUGUUCAUAUGUCCUAUUUUAAGGAUAAAAAAAUGGAGGAACAGAGAGACUGAGUAACUUGCUUGAGGUCACACAGCUAGGAAGGGGUGAAGCCAACAUUGGAAGCAGGCACUCUGGGUCCAGAGUAUAGUUCUUAAUGUCCACCUUUGGUCUCAUGGUACAUCAAGUAUGUUUGGGGCUGGCUCCCACCCCCAUGCCCCUUGUGUGUGUAGAGAGAGGGGGCAUUUGGCACUCACUCCCCAGGGCCACAGCUAAUUAUCCUGGGGAGGGUACCUGACAGGGCAGGCCUGAAACCUGCAAUCUGGUGGCCUGGUGGGAAAAGUGAAUUGCGCUGACCUAGUUUCUCUCCUGGAGAAGGCUCUGGCACCCCACUCCAGUACUCUUGCCUGGAAACUCCCAUGGACGGAGGAGCCUGGUAGGCUGCAGUCCAUGGGGUCGCUAAGAGUUGGAUACGACUGAGCGACUUCACUUUCACUUUUCACUUUCAUGCAUUGAAGAAGGAAAUGACAACCCACUCCAGUGUUCUUGCCUGGAGAAUCCCAGGGACGGGGGAGCCUGGUGGGCUGCCGUCUAUGGGGUCGCACAGAGUCGGACACGACUGAAGCGAUGCAGCAGCAGCAGCAGCAGCAGCAGCAGCAGUUUCUCUCCUGGGAAUUUGAAACAGGGAAUGGGGCGUUGAUUUUGGAAGCUGAGGGGGCCCUCCUCCUUGCCCCUCCUGAGACUGUCCCUGGGCCCCAUGGUCUGGGGCCUGUCCUUAAUCUCCCUUUCCUGAGGUAACUUAGACUCUGUCCUUGAUACCCAAAUGAUUCAGCUCAGUAAUUUACUUUCUUUUAAGAAUUUAUUCAGAUCAGUUGAAAAGUGAAUAAAAAUACCUCAGUAAUGCUAGGUGAGCAUUGACCUUCUAGUUUUUCCCCUUUUCAAUUAAACAAUAUGCAGAGGGGCUUCCCUGGUGGCCCAGUGGCUAAGAAUCUGCCUUGCAACAUAGGGGCCACCGGCUCGAUCCCUGGUCCUGGAAGAUCCCACAUGCUGCAGAGCAAAUAAGCCCGUGGACCACGACUACCGAGCCUGCCCAUCACAACAAAGAAUAGCUUCCACUUGCUGCAACUAGAGAAAGCCUGCUCACAGCAAGAGACCAGCACAGCCCCAAAUAAAUAAAUAUAUAUUUUUAAAUGCAAAAAUAUAUAGGGUGAUGUGUAAUGGCAACAUUCACAAGUGAAAGCUCAGGAGUCAGACCUCAGCCAGCACUAGCAGGAGGGGGAAAUGCUGAGAGCAUCCUUAACCUGCAGGGUCCGUCUCAAGGCCACAAUAGGAUGGGGACACAGAUGUGGGAGCGAGGUUUCCACAGAGGAGAAAGAUGGCUAACUCAGCAUGAGACGUGACUUCCUAGGCAGCAGGCAUUUUGCAGAAUAUUCUAGAAGACAUACCUCCUCAACUUUUGUGCCAUGAAGAGUGGAGACAGCUAGAGCCAGAGAGGGGAGCUGGGGGGGAGGUCGACGUGGUCUCAGCAUCCAUCUCUCUGCUGAUGCCAGGGUUGAUCCUGCUGACGUGUGUGGGGACACAUUCCGUGUCUCCACAGUGUUACAACAGAAAUGGAAAAUGGGGUUUUUUUUCUGCUAACAUUCAAGAGAAACAAACGAAAGAGAACAUGGCUCUAAAACCCCCCAAGAACAGGCCUGUAAGAGUGAAGCAAUCCUGGCUUUACUUUAGCUGUUUCUCAUCUAUGGCACACAUAACUAGACUUGUCCUUCACAAAGUUGCUUUGUUAAUCACUCUCUAAUCACUCAGUGAAUUCUGUCCUGCACCUGGCAUUAUUCCCCCUGCCCCACUCCCUCGUAGCAUUUUCAUUUCAGAAAGAAGGCCACAGGCAGAUAACUUUGGAAAGGACCAGCCCCAGUUACCAAUGGCCUAAUGCCAGCUGUAGCCAUUUUGAAAUCUUGCAGAAGAAAGAAGAAUGCAAGCCAUCCCUGCUCUGAGCCUUAUCUCCUACCCCAGAACUAUGAGCCCUGACUAUAAGACCCGUCCCUGUUCUCCAGGGAUGGGGGCACUGUUCCUGAGGCACUAAACUGCUGUGUUCCCUCUUUGCUUGGCAAAGAAUAAAACUAGUCUUUCUCUUUACUCCC